RNAcentral lists this transfer RNA (71 nucleotides) under Marmota monax (woodchuck). RNAcentral describes it as "tRNA.Ala". The record is from RNAcentral. Lineage: Eukaryota; Metazoa; Chordata; Mammalia; Rodentia; Sciuridae.
GGGGUAGCGGCUCAGUGGCAGAGCGCUUGCCUAGCAUGCAUGAGGCACUGGGUUGGAUCCUCAGCACCACA